This 267-nucleotide ribosomal RNA is filed under the name Burkholderia multivorans. RNAcentral's name for it is "partial 23S ribosomal RNA". It matches the Rfam family "Bacterial large subunit ribosomal RNA", at positions 2670 to 2925 of the family's 2925-position model. Lineage: Bacteria; Pseudomonadati; Pseudomonadota; Betaproteobacteria; Burkholderiales; Burkholderiaceae. The record is from RNAcentral.
GGCUGCUCCUAGUACGAGAGGACCGGAGUGGACGAACCUCUGGUGUACCGGUUGUGACGCCAGUCGCAUCGCCGGGUAGCUAUGUUCGGAAGAGAUAACCGCUGAAAGCAUCUAAGCGGGAAACUCGCCUUAAGAUGAGAUAUCCCUGGAGGCUUGACCUCCUUGAAGGGUCGUUCGAGACCAGGACGUUGAUAGGUCGGGUGUGUAAGCGCAGUAAUGCGUUCAGCUAACCGAUACUAAUUGCCCGUAAGGCUUGAUCCUAUAACA